AGUAACGCGUGAGGAACCUGCCUCAAAGAGGGGGACAACAGUUGGAAACGACUGCUAAUACCGCAUAAGCCCACGGCUCGGCAUCGAGCAGAGGGAAAAGGAGCAAUCCGCUUUGAGAUGGCCUCGCGUCCGAUUAGCUAGUUGGUGAGGUAAUGGCCCACCAAGGCGACGAUCGGUAGCCGGACUGAGAGGUUGAACGGCCACAUUGGGACUGAGAUACGGCCCAG
This 227-nucleotide ribosomal RNA is filed under the name uncultured bacterium. Its description in RNAcentral is "partial 16S ribosomal RNA". It matches the Rfam family "Bacterial small subunit ribosomal RNA", at positions 109 to 334 of the family's 1533-position model. The record is from RNAcentral.